CACAAGCGGUGGAGCAUGUGGUUUAAUUCGAAGCAACGCGAAGAACCUUACCAGGUCUUGACAUCCCCUGACAACCCGAGAGAUCGGGCGUUCCCCUUCGGGGGACAGGGUGACAGGUGGUGCAUGGUUGUCGUCAGCUCGUGUCGUGAGAUGUUGGGUUAAGUCCCGCAACGAGCGCAACCCUCGACCUUAGUUGCCAGCAUUCAGUUGGGCACUCUAAGGUGACUGCCGGCUAAAAGUCGGAGGAAGGUGGGGAUGACGUCAAAUCAUCAUGCCCCUUAUGACCUGGGCUACACACGUGCUACAAUGGUUGGUACAACGAGUUGCGAGUCGGUGACGGCGAGCUAAUCUCUUAAAGCCAAUCUCAGUUCGGAUUGUAGGCUGCAACUCGCCUACAUGAAGUCGGAAUCGCUAGUAAUCGCGGAUCAGCACGCCGCGGUGAAUACGUUCCCGGGCCUU
RNAcentral lists this ribosomal RNA (459 nucleotides) under uncultured Anoxybacillus sp. RNAcentral's name for it is "bacterial SSU rRNA". It matches the Rfam family "Bacterial small subunit ribosomal RNA", at positions 924 to 1382 of the family's 1533-position model. The record is from RNAcentral. Lineage: Bacteria; Bacillati; Bacillota; Bacilli; Caryophanales; Anoxybacillaceae.